RNAcentral lists this unclassified non-coding RNA (1476 nucleotides) under Hevea brasiliensis (rubber tree). Lineage: Eukaryota; Viridiplantae; Streptophyta; Magnoliopsida; Malpighiales; Euphorbiaceae. The record is from RNAcentral.
GGUAUCUAUAGCUUCAUACUGAGACAAUCAUAUCUUUAGGAUAUGGCCUAUACCCAUAUCUUUAGGAUCAGAACCACCCAGCGCCUCCUGAGCUUUCUUAUCAGUCUCAACUGUUUGUAAUUCUCAGGAAGCGAGAAAACUGAGAACAACUGUCUGAAAGUGAUCUGCAAGGUAAGGUAUCCUCUGAAACAACCUUUCUAUAUUUACAUAAGUUAUCCCUUCUAUAGCAAGAUAAUCCUUAAGUAAUGCUGGCAUUGUGUCUCUAGGAAAAAAUUCCACAGUAGAUACCUUGGGAUUUGCCCUCAAAGGUUUCAAAAUCGAGGUUACACUAUCUUCGAGGCAAUUUGGUUCCUGGGCUACAAUUAUUGAUGAUUUUCCUUUCCUUGAAACCAGUUGAAAAACUUGUGAAACAGAGGUUGAUAUUUUUUUUGUGGGUAUGUCUGCAGGUUGUGGCAUGGUUUUAGAGACGAUUGGGGGUGAGAUGAAAGAGACUACUGGCUUAGGGGAAGUGGUCAAGGUGUUUGUGGCUACCAUGGUUUGGACAGUAUCUGUGAUAAGAAGGCGAGGUGGUUGAGCUUGGAUCUGUGGGGCGUUUGUAUCUAUGGUAUACUUUAUUGGUUUGAAACUGGCCUAUUUAUGGGGAGUGUUCACCUUUAACCAAGGACGCCUUUAACCAAGGACCAUAUUCACUUUUAACUUCUGUGUUUUCUUCGAGUUCUGGGUAUUGUAGAAAUUUGGUGUAGUUCCUUUGCAAGUGACCCAUGAUACCACAUCCAUAACAUUUAUCUAGCAUUUUUUUAAAACUUGAAAUGCACUUUUUGUUUACUGUCAUUGAUCUUUUGAUUAAUGAAACCAGUGGAGAAGGGUUGAUCAAUAGAAAGAGAGACUCUUAUGGGCAUCAUGUUCAUAUAACCCAAGUGCCCCUCAUGAGCAAAAUCAACUUCAAUGAACUUAUCCAUCUGAUUCCCUAUAAUCUGAGCAUUUUGCAUGUUGAUUUGAUUUGGUGGAAGGCCCAUCACUUGUAUUUAGAAUGGCGAACGGGUAAAAGAUAGUUCCUCUAAUGACUUGUUCGGUGGCCAUUCUGUGAGAGUUAGGUGUUGAUUAUGGACUGACCACGACCUAUUUUCUAGCACUACCCAAUCAUUCACCUCAUUGUCAAAAGUAAAUACAUUCUUAGCUUUGACUUGAAAACCCUGUUUGGUAUGCCAAGACUUUGUUAAAGCUGCUUUGAUAAUUCCUACGCUUAGAUGCUUAUCCAAAAUAAGCUUUCCCAUUAGAACUCUACCUUUCAUAUUUACUACACCUUGCACAUUGUUGGAUGUUAGAUGGAGAGUAAAUUCUUCGCAGUUAAAGGCGCUUGGCCUUCUUGAAAAGUUUGUUGACAUAUGUGAUGGAAUAAAGAGGAAACAGGGUUUUAAGUAGGUAAUUAAAGAAGCAGCAGAUUGUAACUUUUUGGGCAUCAAAUAUCAUUUUAAA